Molecule: ribosomal RNA, 262 nt
Filed under: uncultured bacterium
Lineage: Bacteria
Description: partial 16S ribosomal RNA
Rfam family: Bacterial small subunit ribosomal RNA
Source: RNAcentral
CCGCGGUAAUACGGAGGGUGCAAGCGUUGUCCGGAUUUAUUGGGCGUAAAGGGUGCGUAGGUGGCGGGGCAAGUCUGGUGUGAAAUCCCGGGGCUCAACCCCGGAACUGCACUGGAUACUGCUUUGCUAGAGUACUGGAGAGGGAACUGGAAUUUACGGUGUAGCAGUGAAAUGCGUAGAUAUCGUAAGGAAGACCAGUGGCGAAGGCGAGUUCCUGGACAGUUACUGACACUGAGGCACGAAGGCCAGGGGAGCAAACGGG